This 718-nucleotide ribosomal RNA is filed under the name Lobothallia praeradiosa. RNAcentral describes it as "partial large subunit ribosomal RNA". It matches the Rfam family "Eukaryotic large subunit ribosomal RNA", at positions 970 to 1410 of the family's 3401-position model. The record is from RNAcentral. Lineage: Eukaryota; Fungi; Ascomycota; Lecanoromycetes; Pertusariales; Megasporaceae.
CCNUCAGGAUAGCAGUAACGUUUUCAGUUUUAUGAGGUAAAGNGAAUGAUUAGAGGCNUUGGGGNUGAAACAGCCUUAACCUAUUCUCAAACUUUAAAUAUGUAAGAAGUCCUUGUUANUUAGUUGAACGUGGACACUNGAAUGCACCGUUANUAGUGGGCCAUUUUUGGUAAGCAGAACCGGCGAUGCGGGAUGAACCGAACGCGAGGUUAAGGUGCCGGAAUGCACGCUCAUCAGACACCACAAACGAGAGCAGCAUUCAACGGUCGCAGGGAGGUGCCUAGGGAAGCAGUGAUAUAGUUAUGUUGUUGCGAGGGGUUUACUUUGCAAUGUGGUGUCGCCGAAACGUCGAGUUUUGAUUAGUCCUAUGCCAAGGGCGAGGUUANUGAUCUGCGUGGAUUGUUGAAUCGUUCAGCUUACCCGCAGCCGUGUUCGCACGGUCCACAGAUUAAGUGAUUGCCGGCAGCGUAUCGCUGUUUAAGAUAUGAUCGGCCUCGAGGUGUAAGCUUGGAGAUCACGCGCAAAAGGUGUUAGUUCAUCUAGACAGUUGGACGGUGGCCAUGGAAGUCGGAAUCCGCUAAGGAGUGUGUAACAACUCACCAACCGAAUGAACUAGCCCUGAAAAUGGAUGGCGCUCAAGCGUGCUACCCAUACCUCGCCGCCAGGGUAGAAACGAUGCCCUGGCGAGUAGGCUGACGUGGGGGUCAGUGACGAAGCC